UUUUUUUUUUUUUGUCUUUUUGCUAUUUCUUGGGCCACUCCCACGGCAUAUGGAGGUUCCCAGGCUAGGGGUCGAAUCCGAGCUGUAGCCACAGGCCUACACCAGAGCCACAGCAACACGGGAUCCGAGCCGCGUCUGCAACCUACACUACAGCUUACGGCAAUGCCGGAUCGUCAACCCACUGAGCAAGGGCAGGGACCGAACCCGCAACCUCAUGGUUCCUAGUCGGAUUCGUUAACCACUGCGCCACGACGGGAACUCCAUAGAUUUUUUUUUUAAUGGUGAGAAUACAUCCACAGAAUGCUCUGCCUGUGUUAGGCAGAAAACAAGCCAAUGUUGUUGAGUGUCUACCAUGUGCCAAACUGUAUACUUUACAUAUUAUUUCAUUUCAUCUUCACAAUAACUCUAUGAUAUAGAUACACUUAUCUUCAUUGAACUGUGGUUUAGGGAGAUUUAAUUACUUGCCUGAGUUCUCAUAACAAGUAACUGCCAGCUUCAAGAUAUGAGCCACAUAUAUCUGAUUUUAAAAUGAAUGAAUUGCCCACCAUGCCUUGUGGCCUCUUAGGAUCAUGGCUAUGGUCUGAAUUUCAUAGGAUUUUCAAAUUUAUUAAGGCCAAUGGCCAUAUCUUAUUCAACAUUGUGCCCCUUCCCUUAGAAUCUAGGACAGCUCCUGGCUUAUACUGGAUCUGCAAAAUGUAUACUAUUAAAAUCAACUAGAGGUGAUUACUUGAUUAUACAGCCUUUAUGAUCAAUCACCAAGCAACUGAAAACCCUCUGAGGACUCCUGAUGUCUCUGUGGGGCUCAGGGUUUGGGAUGAGUUGCUCCAAUGGUAGAGUAAGGAAACAACAGGGGUGGGGGGUAACACUCAUCUAUAGAACAACUUAAUCACUUAGAAUUCUGGCUGAGAAAAUAUGAAGAAAGUCCAAUUCCUACUCCUCCAGUUUCAAGCACAGGAAUGGAAAAGAGCUCCGAACAGUCUUCAGAGGAUCCAUAGUCGUCUUGAAAAGUCUUCUAUUCUAGCAUAAUGACAACAUGCAUGGGCCCCAAAAGCCACCUAACUAUAUAUGCAAAGUGCUGUAAUUAAGAAGCAGCCACUCUCUAGGCAUAACAAAACUAGGACAAAAUCUGGAUGUAAAGUGGUUGACCUCAUAUGGCCAAAAUUUUGUGUGUCUGAUGGUAAAGCAACAACAUAGCAGCUAAUCCAAUAGUUAGAGGCACAACACUUGAUGAGGCUUGGGGUUAUGAGAUGGCUUUUCUUUCCUGCCCUGGCCCCUCCUCUUCUUCCUCUCCCUCAUCCUUCUUGAAAGCGCACUCCUGGAUUUGGCGGUCCAGCUCGGAGAAGUUCCCUUCCUGGUCUGAGCUGCUGUCGGUACUGUAAUCAAUCUCCUCCAGGCAGGGAGGUUCAUCAUCCAGUUCUGAAGUGGUGCUGCUACUGCUGCUGCAUCUGCCAUGAGGUCCCAUAAAACAUGGAGAAGAAAGGAAGGAGAGGAAAGGAGGGAAGGGAAAAGGGGAAAAAAAAGGGAAAGG
RNAcentral lists this long non-coding RNA (1528 nucleotides) under Sus scrofa (pig). RNAcentral's name for it is "lncRNA (ENSSSCG00015068037.1)". Lineage: Eukaryota; Metazoa; Chordata; Mammalia; Artiodactyla; Suidae. The record is from RNAcentral.